This 301-nucleotide ribosomal RNA is filed under the name uncultured bacterium. RNAcentral's name for it is "partial 16S ribosomal RNA". It matches the Rfam family "Bacterial small subunit ribosomal RNA", at positions 509 to 807 of the family's 1533-position model. The record is from RNAcentral.
CAGUAGCCGCGGUAAAACGGAGGGGGCUAGCGUUGUUCGGAAUUACUGGGCGUAAAGCGCACGUAGGCGGCUUGGUAAGUUAGAGGUGAAAGCCUGGAGCUCAACUCCAGAAUUGCCUUUAAGACUGCCGAGCUAGCAGGUGAGAGAGGUAAGUGGAAUUCCGAGUGUAGAGGUGAAAUUCGUAGAUAUUCGGAAGAACACCAGUGGCGAAGGCGGCUUACUGGCUCAUACUGGACGCUGAGGUGCGAAAGCGUGGGGAGCAAACAGGAUUAGAGACCCGGGUAGUCCCUGUCUCUUAUAC